Long non-coding RNA from Hipposideros armiger (great roundleaf bat), 564 nucleotides. RefSeq lists it as uncharacterized. The transcript is spliced from 3 exons. The record is from RefSeq and is a predicted model, not a curated record. NCBI's taxonomy places the organism in Eukaryota, Metazoa, Chordata, Mammalia, Chiroptera, Hipposideridae.
GGGAGGAGGGAAGGGCCAGAGACCUGCAGACACACUCUGAACAAGCCCAGGAUCCUGCCUCAGGCACGCUGCGUUGUCUUGCCAUCCCAAGAGAAAAUCACCUCUGAACCCUCCAGUUGGAUGAAGAGCCUUCCUCUGAGCUCCCUUCUGCCAUCAUCAUCAACAUAGUGCCUGGCAUCAGAGGGCCUCAGUUUCACCAACCUACAAAGGCAAAAGGUAUUUUCACAGGCCCCAGAAGAUGAACUCCAAGCUGCUGUUCCCAAACACAUUCUCCACUGUCUGGAAGACAUACAGAGGCAAGUGCACAGCGUUCUCCAUCUCAAAUCCUUCAAAGUGCUAUGGGAAUAAAAGAAUCUCCACCUAAAGCCCCAGAGACAUCUGUCUGUCUGUACGGUAUGAUAAUGACAGAGGCUAGUCCAGAUAGGAUUCUGGGAGAAACACAGCUAUUCAAACCUAAUAAAUGACACUGAGAAUUUCUUGUUAUAAUACUGUUUGUUUCUUUGAUUGGCCAUAGCCUCGUAUCUAAGAGGACAUCAAAAUAAAUAAUAAAAGCAAGACAUUGUU